AGCAGCCGCGGUAAUUCCAGCUCCAAUAGCGUAUAUUAAAGUUGUUGCAGUUAAAAAGCUCGUAGUUGAAUUUCGGGGUCAGCAAGUUGGUCGUGCCACUGGUAUGUACUGGCUUUGCUGAUUCCUCCUUCUUGUAGAACCGUAAUGCCAUUAAGUUGGUGUUGCGGGAAAACAGGACUGUUACUUUGAAAAAAUUAGAGUGUUUAAAGCAGGCUAACGCUUGAAUACAUUAGCAUGGAAUAAUGAAAUAGGACGACGAUCCUAUUUUGUUGGUUUCUAGGAUUGACGUAAUGAUUAAUAGGGAUAGUUGGGGGCAUUAGUAUUCAAUUGUCAGAGGUGAAAUUCUUGGAUUUAUUGAAGACUGACUACUGCGAAAGCAUUUGCCAAGGAUGUUUUCAUUAAUCAAGAACGAAAGUUAGGGGAUCGAAGACGAUCAGAUACCGUCGUAGUCUUAACCAUAAACUAUGCCGACUAGGGAUCGGAUGAUGUUAAUUUUUUAAUGACUCA
This 507-nucleotide ribosomal RNA is filed under the name uncultured Glomus. Its description in RNAcentral is "SSU rRNA". It matches the Rfam family "Eukaryotic small subunit ribosomal RNA", at positions 569 to 1078 of the family's 1831-position model. Lineage: Eukaryota; Fungi; Glomeromycota; Glomeromycetes; Glomerales; Glomeraceae. The record is from RNAcentral.